CCCAGAGGUAUUGAUUGGUGUGAAGAUCGGCUGCUGCGGCAGCGAUACCUGUCCCCAGGUAUUCACCCUGUUCGGUUGCACCGACCCACGCGGAUGCGUGGGUUUUUUUU
Molecule: non-coding RNA, 110 nt
Organism: Pantoea wallisii
Lineage: Bacteria; Pseudomonadati; Pseudomonadota; Gammaproteobacteria; Enterobacterales; Erwiniaceae
Source: Rfam